This 254-nucleotide ribosomal RNA is filed under the name uncultured bacterium. RNAcentral describes it as "partial 16S ribosomal RNA". It matches the Rfam family "Bacterial small subunit ribosomal RNA", at positions 524 to 776 of the family's 1533-position model. The record is from RNAcentral.
UACGGGGGGGGCAAGCGUUGUUCGGAUUUACUGGGCGUAAAGGGCGCGUAGGCGGCUUUAUAAGUUACUUGUGAAAUCUUGAAGCUCAACUUCAAGCGGCCAAGUGAUACUGUAGAGCGUAGAGUGCGGAAGGGGCAACUGGAAUUCUUGGUGUAGCGGUGAAAUGCGUAGAUAUCAAGAGGAACACCUGAGGCGAAGGCGGGUUGCUGGGCCGACACUGACGCUGAGGCGCGAAAGCUAGGGGAGCAAACAGG